This is a long non-coding RNA of Trematomus bernacchii (emerald rockcod), 1642 nucleotides long. RefSeq lists it as uncharacterized. The transcript is spliced from 5 exons. The record is from RefSeq and is a predicted model, not a curated record. NCBI's taxonomy places the organism in Eukaryota, Metazoa, Chordata, Actinopteri, Perciformes, Nototheniidae.
UUUGAGAUAAUACUUCAGUAAUUAUACUUUAGUAACUUUCUGUAAUGGAGACUGUGAAGGAUUAGAGUACUUCUUCAACCUCUGUUACCCUGGUAGUUAAACUGGUGGUGAAGCUGGUAUUUAUGCUGGUCUACCAGCAGUCUUGCUGGCGAAACUGAAACAGACACAGACAGACAGAGAGGGCGGGACACGGGGGAACGGCGAGACAGCAGUGGUUGAAACAAAGCGGUUUGUUUUUGACUGGCACCAUAUGGCGCUGACUGGCACGGUUGAGGAGUGAAGAUCAGUUGAACGUUUCUGUGACUCCGCCCAGCGGCUGCUCUUCUGAGAGGCACCGCUCUGACAGCUCUGUCUACUGGGAAACGCGCCAAAAGUCCUUCUGGAGGCUUUGCAUUUGAACCCCUAUGACAGGUUGCGGACUUGAAGGGAACGACUUCCUGGCCUUCCUGACAUCCAGGAAAAAGUUUUAUGGGACAGUAGAGAUCUAAUGGAAACAGUGGAGAGGGAGGAGAUGAUAUGCAGCAAAAGGCCGAGGUGGAUGGUUGCUGCUCCGUGUGGAACGUGUUCUCUCAGGUGUAACAUCUACCAAUGGUUGUACAUGACACCCCCUCUUUGCUGUCCUACUAGUCAACUCUCCUGAUCAGAGCCUUUCCUAAAUAGUGAAAGGAUCAUGCCAGCCCACAUCAAACUAGAGAUGGCAAAUCCGGAUCCUUUUACGGACUCAGGGUCUUCUGAGUCAGUCAUUGAAGAGAUCCGGAUCAUACGAGUCAUUUGAGUCGUGUUGGUGGGUGGUCUCAGACAAUCUUUUUCUCAUUCUAAACGUGUGAUGGGUUUUCGACGGAAUAGUGGAUUUCUUACUCUCUGUGUUGCGCUAACAAGAGCAACCUGUUGAAACUUGUUAUUACAUCGUUCUUCUGGCUGGGUACAUGAGUUCAUAGGACCAGGUCUUCUUUUCCAUGACUUUUAUUUGAUCUCUUUGUGAAUCACUUUAUUCAAAAAUGUGCUGUCUUUGAAUGUGCUACAUACAUAAACGUACGUAACGUAGGAAAGACAAAAGUAAUUUAAUUUAGAAAUGUUACAUAGUAUAUCAGCAUAUGUAUAUAUAAGUGUGAAAAUGUUGACUCUCAGACCUGCAGAGGACACAGAGACACCGAAGAGGAAUCAACACAUAACGAGUACCCUGACCCAAACCCAGCAUAGAGAGGUUCAGUGAAUGUGGUUCUGAAGGUGUGGAGGUGGACCAGUGUGUCAGAGGAGACUCUGUAGAAGGAGAGAGAGCCAGCAGGAAAAUCCAGAUACACUGCUACUCUACCAGAGGGUUAGCAAAACCCUUCAGAGACAUGUUUUUUAUAUCUGAGACCUAUAAUAUAUGCUUACAAAUAGUACAAUAGGAGACCUUUAAGUGCAGUUCCAAACCAACGAGUGUGGAGGGGGAGUGUUUUAUCAAGAGAGUCUGCAUCACCUGACUUCACCUGCUGCUCCACCUGACCGACCAACGUGUGUGUGUCCGUCAGGAAACACGCUGCUUACAAACAGUUCCAACAUUUACUGAACAACAAGAUAGAUGUUUAAUAUCUUCAUACAGAUGUUAACAACUUCCUGUUCCCUCGUAUUGUUUUUAACUCAGGAUCAUACCUGUGUU